UCCUCGAUAGCUCAGUUGGCUAGAGCAUCGAACUGGUAAUUCGGAGUUUGCGGGUUCGAGCUCCGCUCGAGGAG
Non-coding RNA from Harmonia axyridis, 74 nucleotides. The record is from the annotation of a RefSeq genome assembly. Lineage: Eukaryota; Metazoa; Arthropoda; Insecta; Coleoptera; Coccinellidae.